RNAcentral lists this transfer RNA (1429 nucleotides) under Marmota monax (woodchuck). The stretch from base 451 to 519 matches the Rfam family "tRNA". Lineage: Eukaryota; Metazoa; Chordata; Mammalia; Rodentia; Sciuridae. The record is from RNAcentral.
UUAAAAGGAGACAUGUCAGCCGGAUGCGGUGGUGCACACAUGUAAUCCCAGCUGCUUGGGGGCUGAGGCAGGAGGAUCUUGAGUUCAAUGCUAAUCUCAGCAAAAGUGAGGCACUAAGCCACUCAGUGAGACCCUGUCUCUAAAUAAAAUACAAAAUAAGGCUGAGGAUGUGGCUUAAUGGCUGAGUGCUCCUGAAUUCAAUCCCUGGUAGACCCUCCCCCGCCCCCCAAAAGAGACAUGUCACUAGGAGGCUGUCAGUGAGGGUUUAAAGGAAGGAAAAUGUUGGAAGCUAGAACAAAGGUGAUUCAUGUUACAUAGUAGCAGAAAGCUAGCAAUGCUGGCAGUAUUAACAGUGAAAAAUAAAACAUUUAUUUCAUCAACUGGAUGAUAGCUAAGGAGCUUUCUAGGCAGAGUGUUGAAAGUGCUCUUAAGAAUCUUCUAGCUGGAGCUGGGGUUGUGGCUCAGUGGUAGAGUGCCUGCCUAGCAUGCAGGAGGCACUGGGUUCAAUCCUCAGCACCAUAUAAAAUAAAGACAUUGUGACCACCUAAAACUUAAGAAUAAUAAAAAAAGAAUCUUCUAGCUGCCUAUAGUAAAAGAUAAGAGGAGAGAGGUGAGCAGAGGAAGAAUUGUUAAAUAUAGAGGCGCCAUUCUUUAGGAUUGAAAAGUGUGUUAGUUAGCUUUUGCAUUGCUGUGACCAAAAUAUCCAACAAGAAAAACUUAGAAGAGGAAAAGUUUAUUUGGUGCUUACUGUUGCAGAGGUCUCAAUCCAUAUGCAGCCAACUCCAUUGCUCUGGGCCCAAAGUGAGGCAGUACAUCAUGGGGGAAGGACCCAGGGGAGAAAAAGGGCUUAGCUCAUGGCAAGGUCAGGAAGGGGGAGGCAGGGAAGAUGCAGGACCUACCUCCUCUAGCCACAUCACACCUGUGUAUAGUUGCCACCUAUUCAGUCCGUUCAAAUGAGGACAGACUGAUUAGAUUAUAGCUCUCAUCUAAUCAUUUUAAUCUCUGCAUAUUCCUGCACUAGCAGGAGCUUUUGGGGAAGACACCUCAUAUUUAAACCACGAGAAAAAGCAAAAACUGUUAUAGGUUCAGCAAUUGAACGGAAAACAGAAUCAGUCUGGAAUGGCCUCUACCCACUUAAGACAGUUGACACAUAGCCAGUGGUGGUUAGUGUCAGCUGGGGUAUUAGCAUUACAACAUCACUUUAGAGGUGAUGGGUGUUAAGGGAGGUUUUCUUGUGGUUUUUGUUUUUUUUUUUUUUUAAUGAAGACAUGGCUUUGUUUAGAUAUAAUAACUUGAUUCUUAUAAAACUAUAUUUGAAAGAUCAAUUUGGAAGAGAUAAGACAAAGAACAGUAAUGAGGUAGCUGAAAAUUGUUUUAUCUGUCCUCCUUAUAACUGUAAGUCACUAUUAAUCAGUACCUGUUAUUUUAC